AUUGAACGCUGGCGGCAGGCUUAACACAUGCAAGUCGAGCGGGGUGAUGGUGCUUGCACUAUCACUUAGCGGCGGACGGGUGUGUAAUGCUUAGGAAUCUGCCUAUUAGUGGGGGACAACAUCUCGAAAGGGAUGCUAAUACCGCAUACGUCCUACGGGAGAAAGCAGGGGGUCACUUGUGACCUUGCGCUAAUAGAUGAGCCUAAGUCGGAUUAGCUAGUUGGUGGGGUAAAGGCCUACCAAGGCGACGAUCUGUAGCGGGUCUGAGAGGAUGAUCCGCCACACUGGGACUGCGACACGGCCCAGACUCCUACGGGAGGCAGCAGUGGGGAAUAUUGGACAAUGGGGGGAACCCUGAUCUAGCCAUGCCGCGUGUGUGAAGAAGGCCUUAUGGUUGUAAAGCACUUUAAGCGAGGAGGAGGCUCUUUUGGUUAAUACCCAAGAUGAGUGGACGUUACUCGCAGAAUAAGCACCGGCUAACUCUGUGCCAGCCGCCGCCGUAA
Molecule: ribosomal RNA, 503 nt
Filed under: uncultured bacterium
Lineage: Bacteria
Description: partial 16S ribosomal RNA
Rfam family: Bacterial small subunit ribosomal RNA
Source: RNAcentral